GAGGUAAUUCCUACCAGCAAGGCGCGGCUUCCCAUCUGCUAGCCUAGUCGAAUAGAACACAGAAGUUAAGCGUGCUCGGGCUGGAGUAGUCCAAGGAUGGUGACCCGGUGGGAAGUUGCAUAUCUCA
This 127-nucleotide ribosomal RNA is filed under the name Triticum aestivum (bread wheat). Lineage: Eukaryota; Viridiplantae; Streptophyta; Magnoliopsida; Poales; Poaceae. The record is from RNAcentral.